Molecule: ribosomal RNA, 460 nt
Filed under: uncultured bacterium
Lineage: Bacteria
Description: partial 16S ribosomal RNA
Rfam family: Bacterial small subunit ribosomal RNA
Source: RNAcentral
CCUACGGGUGGCAGCAGUGAGGAAUAUUGGUCAAUGGGCGAGAGCCUGAACCAGCCAAGUCGCGUGAAGGAUGACGGCCCUACGGGUUGUAAACUUCUUUUGUCAGGGAGCAAUUGAGUCCACGUGUGGGCUUAUCGAGAGUACCUGAAGAAAAAGCAUCGGCAAACUCCGUGCCAGCAGCCGCGGUAAUACGGGGGAUGCGAGUGUUAUCCGGAUUUAUUGGGUUUAAAGGUUGCGUAGGCGGAAUAUACAGUAUGCGGUAAAAAUUCGGGGCUCAACCCCGUCGUGCCGUUGAAACUGAUGUUCUUGAGUGGGCGAGAAGCAUGCGGAAUGCGUGGUGUAGCGGUGAAAUGCAUAGAUAUCACGCAGAACUCCGAUUGCGAAGGCAGCAUACCGGCGCCCAACUGACGCUGAAGCACGAAAGCGUGGGUAUCGAACAGGAUUAGAUACCCGGGUAGUC